RNAcentral lists this ribosomal RNA (505 nucleotides) under uncultured bacterium. RNAcentral describes it as "partial 16S ribosomal RNA". It matches the Rfam family "Bacterial small subunit ribosomal RNA", at positions 28 to 507 of the family's 1533-position model. The record is from RNAcentral.
GACGAACGCUGGCGGCGUGCCUAAUACAUGCAAGUAGAACGCACAGUUUAUACCGUAGCUUGCUACACCAUAGACUGUGAGUUGCGAACGGGUGAGUAACGCGUAGGUAACCUGCCUGGUAGCGGGGGAUAACUAUUGGAAACGAUAGCUAAUACCGCAUAAUAUUAAUUAUUGCAUGAUAAUUAAUUGAAAGGUGCAAUUGCACCACUACCAGAUGGGCCUGCGUCGUAUUAGCUAGUAGGUGAGGUAACGGCUCACCUAGGCGACGAUACAUAGCCGACCUGAGAGGGUGAUCGGCCACACGGGGACUGAGACACGGCCCAGACUCCUCCGGGAGGCAGCAGUAGGGAAUCUUCGGCAAUGGACGAAAGUCUGACCGAGCAACGCCGCGUGAGUGAAGAAGGUUUUCGGAUCGUAAAGCUCUGUUGUAAGAGAAGAACGGGUGUGAGAGUGGAAAGUUCACACUGUGACGGUAUCUUACCAGAAAGGGACGGCUAACUACGUG